Molecule: ribosomal RNA, 478 nt
Filed under: uncultured bacterium
Lineage: Bacteria
Description: bacterial SSU rRNA
Rfam family: Bacterial small subunit ribosomal RNA
Source: RNAcentral
CGACUAGCGGCAGGCCUAAUACAUGCAAGUCGAACGAGAUUGUUGUAGCAAUAUGACAUGAAAGUGGCGCACGGGUGCGUAACACGUAUGCAAUCUACCUCUAAUUGGAGAAUAGCUUCGAGAAAUCGGAAUUAAUACUCCAUAACAUUAUUGAAUGGCAUCAUUCGAUAAUCAAACUUCCGGGGGAUUAGAGAUGAGCAUGCGCAACAUUAGUUAGUUGGUAAGGUAACGGCUUACCAAGACGAUGAUGGGUAGGGGUCCUGAGAGGGAGAUCCCCCACACUGGUACUGAGACACGGACCAGACUCCUACGGGAGGCAGCAGUGAGGAAUAUUGGACAAUGGGCGCAAGCCUGAUCCAGCCAUGCCGCGUGCAGGAAGAAGCAUCUAUGGUGUGUAAACUGCUUUUGUACAGGAAGAAACACUCCCUCGUGAGGGAGCUUGACGGUACUGUAAGAAUAAGGAUCGGCUAACUCCGUG